This is a non-coding RNA of Onthophagus taurus, 3280 nucleotides long. Lineage: Eukaryota; Metazoa; Arthropoda; Insecta; Coleoptera; Scarabaeidae. The record is from RefSeq and is a predicted model, not a curated record.
AUCAGAUAAAACAGAUUUGCGAUUUGAAUUUAUUAGAGUAGAUUUCUCAUUCUUGUGGGGUAUUUUAAUUUCGUAAUUUUUCGUGCAUUACUGGUCGAACAAACGAAGCAUACAAAGCUGCACAAGAAAUUGCAAAAUAUGGAAGUAUUUCACCAAUUACGUUUCAUUUCCGUUUCUAAUGUUAACAUUCAGGGCUACCAUCUAUGUUCUAUCUCGCAUAAUCUAUAUCUGACAGAUACGUAACUCAUGGAUAAACUUGUCUAACAGAUAACCUCAGUUACGCGUUUAUUAAGCAACUUUCUACCCGACAGGCAGCAAACCACAAGAUAGAAAACAGAUGGUACCCCUGAGUGUUAACAUUAGAAACGGAAAUAAAACAUGAUUGGUCAAAUUUGUAUAAUUGACUUUAGUUUGUGAAGUUGAUUUGUGAGUUCUUGCAUGAGUAUUUAUUAGAAAGCGAUGAAGAUGAGGAUAUUGUCCAACUUUUACAUUAUAAACGUCGACCAUAUAUUAUAAAAGAAAGACAAAAGUCAAAACCACUUUGAGGAUUUAGACGACCAAGAUUUUUUUGUUAGAUUUCGGUUAAAAAAGAGUACAGUUUUGUCAAUCUUGGUUAAAAUUGAGACGAGAUUAGAAUUCCAAACUGACAGGAAUCACAUCAUCUCUCCUAUCGACCAAUUGCUCCUUGCACUGAGAUUCUAUGCUACAGGAAAGUUCUUGAUUUCAUGUGGCGAUUAUUUUAAUGUUAGUAAGAGCAGUAAUAUUGUAAAAAGAGUAUCACUGCGCUUGCGGAAUUGGCACCAGAAUAUAUACGUAUGCCUACUGGUGACCAAGUAGAGAAAUCACAAGAACAAUUUUAUGGAAAAGCUAGAUUUCCACGGGUGAUAGGCAGUAUCGACUGUACUCAUAUUAGCAUUAUUUCGCCAGGUGGACUACGUGCAGAGACAUUCCGGAAUCGAAAGGGCUUUUUUUCAUUGAAUGUUCAAACUGUCUCCUCGGUGGAUUUAAAAAUUUUGGAUAUUGUUGCUCGUUGACCAGGAUCGGCCCAUGAUCAGCACAUCUUUGAUAAUUCAUUAUUAAAGCAAAGGUUUGAAAAUAAUGAGUUUAGUAAUGCUUUGCUAGUGGGUGAAUUAAAAAACAAAUACAGAUAGUAAACUUAAUAUACAAGCUUAAAAAAUAAAAUAAACCAACUACAAUACAUACUUACCACAAAAACAGGAAUAAAUAUAAUAGCGAUCACUGAGCACUGGAUGACGAAAGAAGAGAUAAAAAUUUUAAGUUUUCCAGGUUAUUAUGUUGGAUCUUGUAACUGCAGGAAACUUUUUUCAAGAGGAGAUUUUCUUACUACUGAUAGAUGAAGAAUAUUUGUCUGAGUCAAUUGAUUUAGACCAAUAUAUUAAAGAAAAAGACAUUGAACUUUGAGCAGUUAAAAUCCCAGUACUGAAUUCCAUUUUUUUUAGUAGUGAAUCACUGACCAGAUGGAGACUAUAGAGAAUUUUUGGGAAAAAUGGAAGAAAUUUUACAUUUCGUAAUAGGAAAACAAAAUUAAAAAAAUAUAUUUAUAAUGGGGGACUACAAUAUAUGUAUCAAUGAAAAAUCAUUAAUUAAUGAGGAGUUGUUAGCUAUUUUGCUAGAAUAUGGACUUACACUGUGUAGAUAACAUCUUCAUAAACAGAUAAACGAUUACUAAACGAUUACUAUGUAUAAAUAGCACAAACGAAAGGUAGCAUGAUAAAAAAAGAUCUAAUAGAGUUCAAACAAAUAGAACAAGUUGAAGCUAUACAACUAAAACAAAUUGAAGAGGAAGAGAUUGAAGCGAUAAUAAAGAACUUGAAUAAAACAAACACUAAUGAUGUGUAUGGAAUGACAACAAAAGUACUCCAGAAUAUAGAACCUAUAAUAAGGGUAAUGUUGUGUAACCUAUUAAAUAAAUGCUUAAGAGACGGUGUUUUUUCCAAAUGAACUGAAAUAUAUAAGAGUAACUCCUAUUCAUAAACAAGGGGACGCGAAUAAUAAAAGUAAUUACAGACCGAUAUCAAUAAUACCCGUAAUAUCCAAAGUUUUUGAAACUGCAAUAAAAAACAGGAUCAUGGACCACAUAAAAGACAAUAAUCUAAUAACACAAUAUCAACAUGCAUAUCAAAAAGAAAAAUCAACAACAUCAGCACUGCUUAGAGUAAUCCAAAGUAUAAUAACUGGUUUUGAUACGCAAAAUUAUACACAAGUAGUUUUCUGUGACCUGAGUAAAGCUUUUGAGUCAGUGAAUCACCAAAUUCUUCUGAAAAAAAUGGAAAAAUACGGCAUAAACGAAAAUGGAAAUAAACUUAUUGCUUCAUAUCUUCAUAACUGGAGUACCACAGGGCUCCGUGCUCGGACCAGUUUUAUUCCUGUUAUAUUUAAACGAUUUACCAAAAAAUAUAAAGGCAGACUCAAUGUGUUUGUAUGCUGAUGACACCUCAUUCAUAAAUAGUUCUAAAGACUUAGAAGACCUAAAAGAAAAAACAAAUAUAACAUUAAAUGAAGCAAAAAAUUUGUUCAAAGUAAAUAAUCUACAACUGAACAGAGAAAAAACACAUACACUUACCUUCUUCACAAAACAAAACCAGGAGGUCAGAGAUAAUACUACAAUGUUUCUAGGAGUCUAUGGAGGGAUCACAUAAAAAACUUGAAAGGAAAAUUGGCAACGGCACUGUAUUGUUUAAGAAUGUUAGCUAAAAGUUUACCGGAGGAAGAAAUAAGGAAUGUAUAUUUUGCGUACUUUCAUAGUAUGGCGAUAUAUGGCAUACUUACCUGGGGCGCAUCAAGUAAAGCGGGUGAGAUUUUUAAAUUACAAAACAAAGCAAUUAGAAUACUUAAAAAAUUGCAAUACCAUCCUGUAUUAUUUUCUCUUGUCUACAAUAUGUUCAUGCGCAAAGAGAGACAUUGGAAAGAAAUAUAGACUCUCACAACUACAGUACAUGAUAUGGAAACAAUUUACUGGUACCCUUAUACAGAGUACAGAAGUCACAAAAUACUGUCAAAUAUAUUUCAAUAAAAUUAUAUAAUGCUCUACCAUCAAGAACAAAACAAUUAGACGAGAAGAAAUUUAAAGCGGAAGUGAAGAAACACCUAAUAGAAAGUGAAAUUUAUUCAAUUCAAGAAUACUAUGAAAGUAAGAUGCCGGGUACUACCUAGCAGAGGAAGAGGAACUUGAAGUCAAUUUCAUGUAUUUCUUUUAUUGACGAAUUGAAUGUACCAUGUUUUGUAUAUUUGAGAAAUAAACUAUUAUUAUUAUUAUUAU